GAUUUUUGGUCAAGCUACAAAGGGCGUACGGUGAAUGCCUUGGCACAAGAAGGCGAUGAAGGACGUGAUAAGCUGCGAUAAGCUUCGGGGAGGUGCAAAUAACCUUUGAUCCGGGGAUUUCCGAAUGGGGCAACCCAAUGCAGGUCAUGCUGCAUUACCCUCGAGUGAACACAUAGCUCGAGUGGGGCAAACGGGGGGAACUGAACCAUCUAAGUACCCCUAGGAAUAGAAAGCAACCGCGAUUCCCCUAGUAGUGGCGAACGAACGGGGAACAGCCUAAACUGCCUGUAUGUUAAAGCGAGCACGCGUUGUACGGGCGGGGUUGUGGGGCGUCAUUUGGCAAGGGUGCUAACUUGCCGGGAAGUUACCAAUCAACACCAUAGUCGAAGUGUUCUGGAAAGUUCAACCAUAGAAGGUGAUAGUCCUGUAGACGAAAUGGUAGUUGACUUCCUUAUGAUGUUCCCGAGUACCACGGGACACGUGAAACCCUGUGGGAAGCUGGGGAGACCACUCUCCAAGGCUAAAUACUCUCUUGUGACCGAUAGCGCACUAGUACCGGUGAGGGAAAGGUGAAAAGUACUCCGAGAAGGAGAGUGAAAUAGUACCUGAAACCGUACGCUUACAAGCAGUCGGAGGGGGUUUGUCCCCUGACGGCGUGCCUUUUGCAUAAUGAGCCGGCGAGUUACUUGUAUGCAGCGAGGUUAAUUCACUAAGUGAAGGAGCCGUAGCGAAAGCGAGUCUGAAUAGGGCGUUCAGUUGCAUGCAGUAGACCCGAAGCCAGGUGAUCUACCCAUGGCCAGGAUGAAACGUGAGUAAAAUCACGUGGAGGUCCGAACCGUUGUACGUUGAAAAGUGCUCGGAUGAGCUGUGGGUAGGGGUGAAAGGCCAAUCAAACCUGGAGAUAGCUGGUUCUCCCCGAAAUAGCUUUAGGGCUAGCCUCUUGUUAAAGAGUCGUGGAGGUAGAGCACUGGAUCGGUACGGGGGCUUACCAGCUUACUUAGCCGAACCAAACUCCGAAUGCCAUUGACUUGUUCCAAGGGAGUCAGCGUGCGAGGGAUAAACUCCGUACGCGAGAGGGAAACAACCCAGAUCGCCAGCUAAGGUCCCUAAGUGUAUGCUAAGUGAUUUAAAGGAUGUGAGAUUGCGUAGACAGCUAGGAUGUUGGCUUAGAAACAGCCACCAUUUAAAGAGUACGUAAUAGUUCACUAGUCAAGUGAUUUUGCGCCGACAAUGUAUCGGGGCUAAGCAUACCACCGAAGCUGCGGACUCAGUAAUUCGUUCGCGAAUUACUGAUUGGUAGGGGAGCGUUCCAUAGUAGGUCGAAGGUGAACCGUAAGGUUUGCUGGACGAGAUGGAAGUGAUUAUGUCGGCAUGAGUAGCGAUAAAGCGGGUGAGAAUCCCGCUCACCGAAAAUCUAAGGUUUCCUGGGCUAGGCUCGUCCUCCUGGGGUUAGUCGGGACCUAAGCCGAGGCCGAAAGGCGUAGGCGAUGGAAAACAGGCUAAAUAUUCCUGUACCACUUAUAGCGCGUUCGAGCUAUGGGGUGACGCAGAAGUGAAAGGUCAGCCAGCGACUGGAAAUGCUGGUCUAAGCCCGUAGGGGGGCCGUCCAGGUAAAUCCGGAUGGCCAUAUACCCCGAGAGGCGAUGGGGAGCCGUCUAACGGCAUAAACUGACCCUAAUCAUGCUGCCUAGAAAAACCUCUAUGUGAGUUCUAUAGGUGCCCGUACCGUAAACCAACACAGGUAGAUGAGGAGAGUAUCCAAAGGUGCGCGAGUGAACCCUCGUUAAGGAAUUCGGCAAAAUUAUCCCGUAACUUCGGAAAAUGGGAUGCCCCCAGUAGGUGAAGCCCUUCGCGGGCGGAGCCCAAAGGGGCCGCAGAGAAACGGGCUGGGCGACUGUUUACCAAAAACACAGGUCUCUGCUAAGCCGUAAGGCAAUGUAUAGGGACUGACACGUGCCCGGUGCUGGUAAGUUAAGAGGAGGUGUUAGAUCCUUCGGGAUCGAAGCUCUGAAUCGAAGCUCCAGUAAACGGCGGCCGUAACUAUAACGGUCCUAAGGUAGCGAAAUUCCUCGUCGGCUAAAAACCGACCUGCACGAAUCGUGUAACGACUUGGCCGCUGUCUCAACGAGGGACUCGGUGAAAUUGUAGUUCCGGUGAAGAUGCCGGAUACCCGCGGCAGGACAGAAAGACCCCGUGAACCUUUACUAUAGCUUGGUAUUGGAUUUUGACACUGUAUGUGUAGGAUAGGUGGGAGGCUAUGAAGCGGGAGCGCUAGUUUUCGUGGAGCCGACCUUGAAAUACCACCCUUGCCUUGUUAAAAUUCUAACCUUGGUCCUUUGAUCAGGAUCGGAGACAGUGCCAGGUGGGUAGUUUAACUGGGGCGGUUGCCUCCUAAAGAGUAACGGAGGCGCCCAAUGGUUCCCUCAGCGCGGUCGGUAAUCGCGCGUAGAGUGUAAAGGCAUACAGGGAGCUUGACUGCGAGACCUACAAGUCGAGCAGGUGCGAAAGCAGGGCUUAGUGAUCCGACGGUUGCGCGUGGAAGCGCCGAAGCUCAACGGAUAAAAGGUACUCCGGGGAUAACAGGCUUAUUGCCCCCAAGCGCUCAUAGCGACGGGGCAGUUUGGCACCUCGAUGUCGGCUCAGCGUAUCCUGGGGCUGGAGAAGGUCCCAAGGGUUUGGCUGUUCGCCAAUUAAAACGCUACGCGAGCUGGGUUCAGAACGUCGUGAGACAGUUCGGUCCCUAUCCGCCGUGGGUGUAGGAUAUUUGAGAAGAUCUGACCCUAGUACGAGAGGACCGGGUUGGACGAACCUCUGGUCAACCAGUUGUUCCGCCAGGAGCAUCGCUGGGUAGCUACGUUCGGAAGGGAUAAACGCUGAAGGCAUCUAAGCGUCAAGCCCACUUCAAAACUAGAUAUCCCGUAGGGUUAACCUACCUAAAGGCCCCUCGUAGACUACGAGGUUGAUAGGUUGCAGGUGGAAGCGCAGCAAUGUGUGAAGCCGAGCAAUACUAAUUGGCCGUGAGGCUUGACCAUUUU
This 3035-nucleotide ribosomal RNA is filed under the name Candidatus Handelsmanbacteria bacterium. Its description in RNAcentral is "23S ribosomal RNA". It matches the Rfam family "Bacterial large subunit ribosomal RNA". The record is from RNAcentral. Lineage: Bacteria; Candidatus Handelsmaniibacteriota.